CUACUCAUUUUUUAAUUUAAUCUAAUUUUUUUCUCUUUUAUUAUAAAAAUUUAAUAAUUUAAUUAAUUAUUUUAAUAAAUUUAGUUAUAAAAAUUAUAUGAAGUAUAUGAUAACAUAGUUAGUUAAUUCGCGAAUUAUUUGUAAAUUUUUGAAGAAAUGAAUUAAACGGACUUAUUCGUAUUUUUCCAAAAUAUUCGAAAAAUAUAUAUUUUCUUGAUAAAAAAAUACUUAUUCGUGAAUAAUUCGCGCGCGCCAAAUUAUUCGG
RNAcentral lists this long non-coding RNA (265 nucleotides) under Ananas comosus (pineapple). Its description in RNAcentral is "long non-coding RNA (ACOM_LNC032892)". Lineage: Eukaryota; Viridiplantae; Streptophyta; Magnoliopsida; Poales; Bromeliaceae. The record is from RNAcentral.